ACAGUACUAGUAUAUCAGAGGGUUGUUGAUUUGGUUGAAGGAGAAAUCAUAGUGGAGGGGUGUAUUUGGCCCUUUUCCGUUCUUCAUACUGGGUUAACUCCAUGUUUCUAUGAUUUUGCUGCUGCUUUGCCUUAAAAAGAAGGCACGCAAGAGCAAAGUAGUCACAGAUACAGAUACAAAAGGGUUGUUGACUGGAGCUAA
Molecule: long non-coding RNA, 201 nt
Filed under: Solanum lycopersicum (tomato)
Lineage: Eukaryota; Viridiplantae; Streptophyta; Magnoliopsida; Solanales; Solanaceae
Description: partial TCONS_00185403
Source: RNAcentral